AUACAGAGGGUGCGAGCGUUAAUCGGAAAUACUGGGCGUAAAGCGCGCGUAGGCGGCUUAUUAAGUCAGAUGUGAAAUCCCCGGGCUCAACCUGGGAACUGCAUCUGAUACUGGUAAGCUAGAGUUUUGGAGAGGGAAGUAGAAUUUCAGGUGUAGCGGUGAAAUGCAUAGAGAUCUGAAGGAAUACCAGUGGCGAAGGCGACUUCCUGGCCAAAAACUGACGCUGAGGUGCGAAAGCGUGGGUAGCAAACGGGAUUAGAAACCCUUGUAGUCC
Molecule: ribosomal RNA, 274 nt
Filed under: uncultured bacterium
Lineage: Bacteria
Description: partial 16S ribosomal RNA
Rfam family: Bacterial small subunit ribosomal RNA
Source: RNAcentral